This 253-nucleotide ribosomal RNA is filed under the name uncultured bacterium. RNAcentral describes it as "partial 16S ribosomal RNA". It matches the Rfam family "Bacterial small subunit ribosomal RNA", at positions 524 to 776 of the family's 1533-position model. The record is from RNAcentral.
UACGUAGGAUGCAAGCGUUGUCCGGAAUUAUUGGGCGUAAAGAGCGCGCAGGCGGUCUGACAAGUCAGAUGUGAAAGAGGCCGGCUUAACCGGCAAGGGUCAUUUGAAACUGUCAGACUAGAGUGCAGCAGAGGAUAGUGGAAUUCCCGGUGUAGUGGUGAAAUGCGUAGAUAUCGGGAGGAACACCAGUGGCGAAGGCGACUAUCUGGGCUGCAACUGACGCUGAGGCGCGAAGGCUAGGGUAGCAAACAGG